RNAcentral lists this ribosomal RNA (522 nucleotides) under uncultured bacterium. RNAcentral's name for it is "bacterial SSU rRNA". It matches the Rfam family "Bacterial small subunit ribosomal RNA", at positions 8 to 523 of the family's 1533-position model. The record is from RNAcentral.
AGAGUUUGAUCCUGGCUCAGAUUGAACGCUGGCGGCAUGCCUUACACAUGCAAGUCGAACGGCAGCACGGGAGCAAUCCUGGUGGCGAGUGGCGAACGGGUGAGUAACAUAUCGGAACGUGCCCAGUCGUGGGGGAUAACGCAGCGAAAGCUGUGCUAAUACCGCAUACGAUCUCUGGAUGAAAGCGGGGGACUCGCAAGAGCCUCGCGCGAUUGGAGCGGCCGAUAUCAGAUUAGCUAGUUGGUGGGGUAAAGGCUCACCAAGGCGACGAUCUGUAGCUGGUCUGAGAGGACGACCAGCCACACUGGAACUGAGACACGGUCCGGACUCCUACGGGAGGCAGCAGUGGGGAAUUUUGGACAAUGGGCGCAAGCCUGAUCCAGCAAUGCCGCGUGCAGGAUGAAGGCCUUCGGGUUGUAAACUGCUUUUGUACGGAACGAAACGGUUCUCUCUAAUAAAGAGGGCUAAUGACGGUACCGUAAGAAUAAGCACCGGCUAACUACGUGCCAGCAGCCGCGGUAA